RNAcentral lists this ribosomal RNA (445 nucleotides) under uncultured soil bacterium. Its description in RNAcentral is "bacterial SSU rRNA". It matches the Rfam family "Bacterial small subunit ribosomal RNA", at positions 26 to 518 of the family's 1533-position model. The record is from RNAcentral.
AGGAUAAACGUUGGCGGCGUGCCUAAUGCAUGCAAGUCGCACGGAGCUUCGGCUCAGUGGCGGACGGGUGAGUAACACGUAGGAACCUGCCCGGAAGUGGGGGAUAACUCCUCGAAAGAGGAGCUAAUACCGCAUACGGUCUACGGACCAAAGCAGCAAUGCGCUUUCGGAGGGGCCUGCGGUGGAUUAGCUAGUUGGUGGGUAAAGGCCUACAAGGCGACGAUCCAUAGCUGGUCUGAGAGGACGGCCAGCCACACUGGGACUGAGACACGGCCCAGACUCCUACGGGAGGCAGCAGCAAGGAAUUUUCCGCAAUCGACGCAAGUCGGACGGAGCAACGCCGCGUGCGGGAAGAAGGCCCUGGGUUGUAAACCGCUUUUGGUGAGGGAAGAAGAUCUGACGGUACCUCACGAAUAAGUCACGGCUAACACGUGCCAGCAGCCGC